This 465-nucleotide ribosomal RNA is filed under the name uncultured bacterium. RNAcentral describes it as "partial 16S ribosomal RNA". It matches the Rfam family "Bacterial small subunit ribosomal RNA", at positions 28 to 506 of the family's 1533-position model. The record is from RNAcentral.
GAUGAACGCUGGCGGCGUGCUUAACACAUGCAAGUCGAACGGAAAGGCUCCUGCUUGCAGGGGUACUCGAGUGGCGAACGGGUGAGUAACACGUGGGUGAUCUGCCCUGCACUUCGGGAUAAGCUUGGGAAACUGGGUCUAAUACCGGAUAGGACCGCAUUUUGGAUGGUGUGGUGGAAAGUUUUUUCGGUGUGGGAUGAGCUCGCGGCCUAUCAGCUUGUUGGUGGGGUAAUGGCCUACCAAGGCGUCGACGGGUAGCCGGCCUGGGAGGGUGUACGGCAACAUUGGGAAUGAGAUAGGGCCCAGACCCAUACGGGAGGGAGGAGGGGGGAAAUUGGAAAAAAGGGCGCAAGCCGGAGGGAGCGACGCGGGGGGGGGGGUAAAGGCCUUAGGGUUGAAAACCCCUUGCGCAAGGGACGAAGAGAAAUUGAGGGUACAUGGGAAAGAAGCACCGGAUAACUAGGG